Molecule: ribosomal RNA, 425 nt
Filed under: uncultured bacterium
Lineage: Bacteria
Description: bacterial SSU rRNA
Rfam family: Bacterial small subunit ribosomal RNA
Source: RNAcentral
UGGGGAAUCUUGCGCAAUGGGCGAAAGCCUGACGCAGCAACGCCGCGUGGGGGAUGAAGGCUCUCGGGUUGUAAACCCCUUUCAGUAGGGACGAAUCAAGACGGUACCUACAGAAGAAGCCCCGGCUAACUACGUGCCAGCAGCCGCGGUAACACGUAGGGGGCAAGCGUUGUCCGGAUUUAUUGGGCGUAAAGAGCUCGUAGGCUGUUCGGUAAGUCGGGUGUUAAACCCUCAGGCUCAACCUGGGGCCCCACCCGAUACUGCUGUGACUAGAGUCCGGUAGGGGAGCGUGGAAUUCCUGGUGUAGCGGUGAAAUGCGCAGAUAUCAGGAGGAACACCAGCGGCGAAGGCGGCGCUCUGGGCCGGAACUGACGCUGAGGAGCGAAAGCGUGGGUAGCAAACAGGAUUAGAUACCCCUGUAGUCC